GUCCCCUUCGGUCUAGGAGGCCCAGGACACCGCCCUUUCACGGCGGGUAACCAGGGGUUCGAAUCCCCUAGGGGACGCCA
This 80-nucleotide transfer RNA is filed under the name Escherichia coli O104:H4 str. C227-11. Its description in RNAcentral is "tRNA-Glu". It matches the Rfam family "tRNA". Rfam says of the family: Transfer RNA (tRNA) molecules are approximately 80 nucleotides in length. Their secondary structure includes four short double-helical elements and three loops (D, anti-codon, and T loops). Further hydrogen bonds mediate the characteristic L-shaped molecular structure. tRNAs have two regions of fundamental functional importance: the anti-codon, which is responsible for specific mRNA codon recognition, and the 3' end, to which the tRNAs corresponding amino acid is attached (by aminoacyl-tRNA synthetases). tRNAs cope with the degeneracy of the genetic code in two manners: having more than one tRNA (with a specific anti-codon) for a particular amino acid; and 'wobble' base-pairing, i.e. permitting non-standard base-pairing at the 3rd anti-codon position. The record is from RNAcentral. Lineage: Bacteria; Pseudomonadati; Pseudomonadota; Gammaproteobacteria; Enterobacterales; Enterobacteriaceae.